RNAcentral lists this long non-coding RNA (5322 nucleotides) under Sus scrofa (pig). Its description in RNAcentral is "lncRNA (ENSSSCG00060064831.1)". Lineage: Eukaryota; Metazoa; Chordata; Mammalia; Artiodactyla; Suidae. The record is from RNAcentral.
GGGCCCCCAUGUGCUCUGGGCCCCGUACCGCCUCUGUCCAUGACCCCGCAGGGGUCUGUGUCUCUCAGGGUUACUGACUCAUUUCUCCUGACUCUUUCCUCCUCCUCCUCCUCCUCCUUCUCCUGUUUUUCUCAUUUUGAGUUAGGUAUCUCUAGACCCCACUUAGUCUCUAGCAACAUUCAAGUUGUAAGUUUGGAGUUCUGAGCCACAUGGUUAAAUGUGAGCUCAGGCCUUACCCUCGAACCAGCAGGAAGCUGCAAACAGGCAGGGAUGGGCAGGUUUGCACAAGAAGAACUCCAGUCUGGGCUCAUCAGAUGGGAAGUAUUUCUGAACAGCUCCCCUGUAGCAGGCAGAGUCCCCAGUAGCUUCAGCAGUUUAGCUCAUCCGUAUAAAUGACAUUUAUGAAAAUAAUUUGGGGCUGUUUCGCGGCACCAAGACCUCCACAAGGUGUGACCACUUCUCUUCCAUUGCGUGUCCCCACCCUGCUAAGUUUUCCUCCACAGCCCAGCAGGCCUCCCCGGCAGCAAGUCCAUUAUUUCCCCAGCUCUCAGGAGGAGCCCGCGUGGUCCGUGGCUGCAUUUACACCCCAGGCAAAUUUGGCGCGCCACAGACAUCACCGAGCUGUAACAGGAUUAAUCUUUGGCUGUUGCUCCGGGUCACUAACUGGUAGUCAUGUUUUCACUUUGAGAAUUUCUCUGCAUGUACCUUGUUUGUUGUUGUUGUUGUUUGGUUGUUUUAGGACCAUACCUGCAGCAUAUGGAAGUUCCCAGUCUAAGGGUUAAAUCGUAGCUACAGCUGUCAGCCUACACCACAGCCACAGCAAUGUGGGAUCUGAGCCAUGUCUUCGACCUACACCACAGCUCAUGGCAAUACCGGAUCCUGAACCCACUGAGUGAGGCCAGGGAUCGAACCCACAUCCUCACGGAUGCGAGUCAGAUUCGUUUCCACUGCACCACAACAGGAACUCCCUAGAACAUUAUUCUUUCAAGAUUUAACCAAAAUGUCACAUUUUUUUAAAUAGAGUUAAACGUGAGUUUCUCUCUGGUCAUUCUUGACACUCGCCAGGUUGCCAGCCCCCAACCUGCACCACAUGGAGAGCAGCCCAGCCCCGGAGGGUCCAGAGAAGACAACCCUUAAAGUUCUCCAGCCUCCAACCGCAGCCUUCAUUCAAAAGCACAAGUAUUGCCUGUUACAGUCUUGAAAUGCUACUACAUCAGUGAUAUGAAUUGUUGAAAAAUGUUUAAAACACGUUUAAGGUGUUUACACAUGUAACACGUUUAAAAAUAAUCUUGGUACACCCAUGUUCACAGAAGCAUAAUUCACAUUAGCCGAAAGGCAGGAGCAACCCAGUGGCCACUGAUGGAUGAAUAGUCAAACAAAAUGGGAUAUGUGCAAACAAUGGAAUAUUAUUCAGCCUUAAAAAGGAAAGAAAUUUUGACAGAUGCUGCAACAUGGAUGAAUCUUGAGGACAUUACGCUAAGUGUCAUCAGCCAGUCACAGAGGGACGAAUAUUUAUGAUUCCUCUUAUCUGAGCUACUUAGAGUAGUCACAUUUAUAGAGACAGAAGGAAUGGUGGUUUCCAGGGACAGGAAAGAGAGGAUGUUAUUAUUUCAUGGGUACAGAGUUUCAGUUUUGCAAGAUGAAAAGAAUUCUGUAAAUGGAUGGUGUUGGGGAUGGCACAGUGUGACUGUACUUACUGUCACUGUACAGUAAAAAAAAAUACAUAUAUAGAUGUUUGUGUGUGUGUACAUACAUACAUAGCCCUCCUCAAAUUCAGAGCCUAGUAAAUAUUUCACAACCAUUCUCGAAAGCAUCUGCAGCCUUCAGAGUCACAAGAGGGAAAAAAAAAUCUGUGUGUCUUUGUAAUAAAUAGAUAAUGGAUCUAUCAGGAUAGGAUUGUAAAAGAUAUUGUACCUUCUGUCUUGAUGUGUCCAUCUGUCUGUUUGUGUCUGUUUAUCUCUGUCUUUCUUUCUUGGGUCUCUUGCUCUGGCUGCCGUGUUGUGAGCAGCUCAGUGGAGGUCCACGUGGAAAGAAACCGAGGCCUCCAGCCAAACAGCCAGAGAGCAAGUGAGACUGCCUGCCGGUGGCCAUGUAGGCGAGCUGAAAAGCAGAACGUCCUUUUGUUUUGUUUUGUUUUGGUUUUUUUAGGACCGCACCUGCGGCAUAUGAAAGUUCCAGGCUAGGGGUCAAAUCAGAGCUGCAGCUGCCGGCGUACACCACAGCCACAGCACCACCAGAUCUGAGCCGUGUUUGCAACCCACACCACAGCCACAGCAGCGCCAGAUCCGAGCCGCAUCCAUGACCUAUGCCACAGCUUGCAGCAAUGCCAAGUCCUUAACCUUCGGAGUGAGGCCAGGGAUCGAACCCACAUCCUCAUGGCUGCUAGUCAGGUUCUUAACCCACUAAGUCACAAUAGGAACUCCAGAAGUAGAUCAUCCUAAUUGCAGCCUCAUGAGAGAGCCUGAACCAGAGCACAUAGCUGAACCGCUACUCAGCUGUGAGAUGAGUGUCAUUUCAAGCCACUGAGUUUUGCGGUGAUUUGUCCUCUGCAGCGGAUAGCUGGUGCAUCUUACAGUAUUUUUAUGUGUGUGGCACCCAUGUGUGUACAGAACAUGGGCGCUCGAUGUGGUCGUCGUCCAAACUCUUGCGUUUGAAGCCAGGCCCCCCGGGGAAUGCUUAAUAUCCCACACACCCAGAGGUGCUCUUCAUUCAUUAGCGAGCGACGGGAUGAUGGGUUCACGGUGAACCUGCCUCAUCCCUGCGGAGGGAGGCGCGUUCUCCCUCUCCCACCAGACUGCCUGUCGGCUGCAGUGAUGCUCCCGGAGGACUGGGCCUCUCCUCGCCACCCAUUCCCCCUCUGGGGCCUCUGCUGUCCCGCAGAUACAGACAAGGCACAGGCGCCAGGGGCGAGGAGGGUUUUCAGAAAGCACUCAGCUCAGAGUGGAGCGCCGGGCUGCCGGUUGGGUGACUCCUGGCGGCCGUGGUCUGGCCCACUUCUGCCGCCUCCGCCAAAAGGAGGAGGCCCGUAGGCUCUUGGUGCAGCGCUUGGGGAGGCUCGCUCUUGACCCUGAUCCUGAGAUGUACCACUGGGUACAUCGGCCUCAGAGUAGCCGGGCACAGAGCGCUUGGUGUGUGCGAGCCAGGCGCCGCUUACAGGGGAGCACAGAGGGGCAGCGCCUCGUUUCUGCUCUCGAGGACUGGUCGUUCCUGUGGGGGUCAAGGUCAUGCAUUACUGCCCUGCCCACCAGAAGGACCCAGAGGAGGGUGGGUGCUGAGGGGGAGCUGCCCAUUGGAGGUGGCAGCCCAGCUGGGCCCUUCAGGAUGGAGGAUCACCACCUCCCUCCUGGGGGCGCAUAUGGACUCCUUCGUUCUGACCCGUCACUGCACAUACGUGCUUACAGAUCUGGCUGCUGCUACUCAGUGUGAGUGUUUGGCGGAAACUCAUCUAGAGAUGGGCAUUAUUCCGUGUCUUUAGUGCCCUGCACAGUGCUUGACUCACUGUAGGCCUCGGGAUGCUUUAUGAAUGAGUGACUCGGUCAAUCAAGCCGUGAAUGAGCGAGCCAAGGUACAUGGCGAGACUGGAGAGGUAACUUGGACUGAGCUUUAAGGGCCAGGGAUGCCAUGAACAUUGAGCUAAUAAUUAGCAGUAAGGGGUGUUUUCUUUCUAGGGUGGAAGCAGUGCCUGAAUCAGCACCAAGGAAAGGUGGAAGCGGGGGCAGUGGCCACAUCGGUGUGUUAGCCUGAGCCCCAGCCUCACCCAGGGUCUGUACCAAAAGUGGCCCCAGCCGUGUGCCAGGAGCAGAGGUGGCAAAUUAAGGCAAGGCGCAGACCUGAAGGAUGCUGUUGUGAUUCCCGGGCUAGAAAGAGCAGAGCCCACUCAGGCCAAACCAGUGUGGUCUGGGGCAGCUCCCAGGCCAGGGAGAGGCUGUUUUCAGGUGAGGCUUCGGGUCACCCGACAAAGAAAUUCAGGGACAUUCUGACUUGGAGAACUUGAGGCCGCCGGCUCUCAGGAGCAGCAGGUGCUGCAGAGAAGUCUACCUGGCCAGUGGGGAGUUCAGGCUGCAUUCUGAGGCUUUCCUUAAGAGAACCAGGACUUGUCAUGUGCUUCCUGGUGGUGGUUGCAGCACCCUAAUUUUCAUGAAGAGCAAACGGAGCUUAAUUUGGAGUCACAGAAAAUGUGUCUUUUUUCUUACGCGGCAUUUAGCAGCUAUGGGAGUAAUUUUUCGUGGUCACCUCCUGAUUGUCCACGCUGAUGGGAGGGUGGGCGGAGCUUCGGGGCUAACGUGUAAAACAGCAGGUGAUCCACCGGUGGCCCUGGGAGUGGAUUUGUGCUUCUGUUUAUAGAAGUGCCUAUUCUGAAAAUUCACCACAGAAUUUUGAAAUCAACUUUUAAUGAGGACAACUCAGAAGGGCCUGAAAAGCAGGGUCUCUUCCCCUCCUUGUCCUCCCCCUCCACCCCCAUCCUGUCCCGAGUCCUCCUGUGGGGUGACAGCCUCAUCCAUUACAGAGCAAGCCAAGGAGGAGACGGAUUAAAAGCCAAAGGCAGAGAAAACUUCAGAAGUUCAUUUUUCUAGUUGGUGGAUGUGAUGCAGCAGUGAAGACACUGACCCGAUUAAAAGUUCAGAGGGCUGCAUAUAAUGGCCUCUCCUGUACGUUUAUAUUAGGAAAAGUGUGUUACCAGCUCCCCCAAAGUGCAGAGUCUCCCCGAAGUAGAGGUCGAAGAGUGGUUUUUUCAGAUCAUGAGUCAACAUCAGCCAAGAGGGAUGAAUCACGAUCUUCUUGGGAGAUUCGCAGGCAGGCACACUGGGCUGGGGGAUGCUGCGCACUGCAGUGGCCCUGGGUCCUUGUGACAGACGGGAGACACAGCCUCAGAAGGACAGGCAGAGCCACCAUCAAGCUGUCCUCCGAGCUUUAUCUCGGGCUGUGUUCUGAAAGGGGGCAGGGGGCGGCGGGGCGUUGCUCUCCUGUGCUGGUGAGGAAGUUCAGAAAGUGUGUUUGAACAUACACAUGCCCAGGCAGGAGAAAGAUUCUGUCUUCCCAAUGCUCUUGUCCCAUCUGAAUGUGAAAUUAAAAGUGAUUGGCUGCAGGAGUUCCCAUCCUGGCUCAGCAGUAAUGAACCCCACUAGGAUCCAUGAGGACUUGGGUUCCAUCCUCAGGCUCGCUCAGUGGGUUAAGGAUCCGACAUUGCCAUGAGCUGUGGUAUAGAUCACAGGUGCGGCUUGGAUCCAGUGUUGCUGUGGCUGUGGUAUAGGCUGGCAGCUGCAGCUUUAAUUCAACCCCUAGCCUGGGAACUUCCCUGUGCCCUGGAUGUGGCCCNAAAAA